RNAcentral lists this small nucleolar RNA (64 nucleotides) under Toxocara canis (dog roundworm). RNAcentral's name for it is "Small nucleolar RNA sn668". It matches the Rfam family "Small nucleolar RNA sn668". Lineage: Eukaryota; Metazoa; Nematoda; Chromadorea; Rhabditida; Toxocaridae. The record is from Rfam by way of RNAcentral.
GGUCGAUGAUGUUGUUUCAAGACGGGAAUGAUAUGCUAUUGAUUAUAUGCGAGUUACUGAGGCC